GCCCAGGUGGCUCAGCAGUUUAGCGCCACCUUCGGCCUAGGGCGUGAUCCUGGAGACCCGGGAUCGAGUCCCACAUUGGACUUCCUGCGUGGAGCCUGCUUCUCCCUCUGCCUGUGUCUCUGCCUCUCUCUCUUCCUCUCUCUCUCUGUCUCUCAUGAAUAAAUAAAAUCUUUAAAAACAAUUUUUUUUUGUCAACCUAAAUUUUAUCCACUCAGCAAUUCCGUGAGAGGUAGUCAGAUAUGUACACAAAGAUAUGUAUACAGUGAUAUUGAAUGCACCAUUGUUAAUAAUUAUUAGAAAACUGGAAACAAUUUAAAACUUCCUUAGUAGGGGGUUAAUUGAAUAAAUCCUGGACAUGCACAUUAUGGAAUGUUCAGAUUGUAAAGAGAAUGAGAGGUACGCAUAAUCUAUUUUUAAGUGAAACAUGUAUCUUCUGGAACAGUAUGAUUUUUUUGAAUCUGAGUCUUAUUUUAGGGAAAAGGAAUGUUUGUAUAUGCACUAAAAAUUUCAGAAGGCAAUACACCAAAUUGGCAUCAGCUGUCUGGUAGAAUGUGAUUAAGUGUGAUGGUCAUCACUUUCUAAUUUUUAUAUUUCUAUUUUUUUACAUUAAAAAAUAAUGACCAUGUAUGUUAUAAUCAGUAAGAAUAGUAAAUAUAGAUUAUGACUACGUUCUCAUUUUAUUGCCUGGCAUUUUUCAUGAACUUCAGCUGAUUCUGUUCAUUAGCCUUCCUAAGACUGUUUCCAUAAGACUACACCAUUCAUUUAUACUUCACAUUUGUUGUGUUUUCCUUCCUUUGGUUCCUUGUAUAUGUCCUUCAAAAAUCUGAUGUUCAGUGGAAAGCUUUCAGUGUUACCUUGAGAAGCCCUUUCAAUACUACUCAUUUUCGUCCUCAUCAGGAAGUGGUGUAGAUCGGUACUUAAGUGUAUACACUGAUUUGAAUUCAGAUGCUGGCAUUUUUUAGUGCAUGACCUUGGGCAGGUAGUUGCAGAAUAUCCACAAUAUAAUCAUAAUUUUGUUGUGAAAGGUUGCUACGGAGAUUUAAUAAGUGAAUACGUAUGUAAGCACUUAGAACAAUUCCUGACAAGAGUCAGUGGCCAGUAAAUGUUAUGCUGCUGCUGUCACUACUAAUUUUUUUUUAGGAUCAGUUCUUGUUUUGAGAAUCUUCUUUUCAUAUUUUCUAGAAUAGCCUCAGUCCGUGAAGUCAUAUGGUGAUCUGUCGGCAUCAUAACCAGCAUGUGAUGAAUUUUUUGAAAUCCGACUUUUACCAUUCUCAAAAAUCAAAGAAACUCUUUGGACUCUACUUAUAUGGCUCCUCUCUGGCUCUUGAGAUUUUUUCAGAUGUUAAAUGCGGUCUCUCCUGUCCUUGGAUUCAUAUCACCAACUGACUUCUUCCAGUGUUACAAGUAAAUGUUUAUUAGUGCCAGGUGCAUAUCCUUUUAAUAGGUGAGAAGCAGGGAUAAUAUGUUCAAAUCUUUACAGAAGCCAGAUAGGUGGUACGAACAAAGUUGUGUAGGUGUGACAGGAAGGAGUGCUGGUCAAGGGAACCUGGAAAUCCUGAUUUUUGUAUGGGCCAGACAAAACUCUUUGUGGCUUCUGCCUUUGAAGAGUUUAUGGUGUUUUUAUUUAAGAAUGGUAUGAUUGAUUGGCUUGCUUAAAUUUCAUUGUAAUUUUUAUUAAAUCUAGAUUUAUAUAACCUUUAGCAUUUCUUAUGUACAUCUAAGUCUUUACACAAGAAAGCUGUCAGAUUUAUCAAGGAUAGUCAGUUGAUUACAUAGUGCACUCGUGUCUAUGGUAAUGUUGAUUUUAGUCAUAGUAACUGCUUUCUAUAGCUCUAAGUGUGCAGACUUGCUUAGGUUUAUGGAACAACAUGUCUCUUCCCAAUAAAGAUAAUUUUUAUCUGUGUUAGGACAGUUGGGAAAAUGUUUUUUUUUUUUUUUUUUUUUUUUAAUGAUCCCCUCCCCUCAGCACACUGGGUUGCCAAACCUUGGAUUAUUUCAUUGGGUGUGUAUUAUUGUGGCAAGAGUUUUUAGUAGCAUAUUUCUAAAGACUGCUUUCAACGACUCUGCAAAUCUGAGAAGCAGUCAGUGGUUGCUAAGAGACAUACUAUUCAAGUGUCCCCAUAAACAUAUGUACUGCUGGAGAUUGCGAUUUAGCAAUUUGUAUUUCACAUUUGCAGUUAUAUUUAGCUGAAAGGUGCUGUGAUUAUCAUGCAACUUAUGCAAAUUGGUUACCCUGUCCUUAAAAGUGACCUUUUGUUAUUGUGUUUUAAAAAUUCAAGACAAAUUGGACUCGACACAAACCUACUUGUUAAUAAAUUUUAAGUUCU
RNAcentral lists this long non-coding RNA (2327 nucleotides) under Canis lupus familiaris (dog). Its description in RNAcentral is "lncRNA (ENSCAFG00000057308.1)". The record is from RNAcentral. Lineage: Eukaryota; Metazoa; Chordata; Mammalia; Carnivora; Canidae.